UUCAUGAUUCAGACCUUGGUGAGUGGCGGACGGGUGAGUAACACGUGGGUAACCUGCCCAAAAGUGGGGGAUAACAUCUGGAAACAGAUGCUAAUACCGCAUAACAACUUGGACCGCAUGGUCCGAGUUUGAAAGAUGGCUUCGGCUAUCACUUUUGGAUGGUCCCGCGGCGUAUUAGCUAGUUGGUGAGGUAAUAGCUCACCAAGGCAAUGAUACGUAGCCGACCUGAGAGGGUAAUCGGCCACAUUGGGACUGAGACACGGCCCAAACUCC
This 273-nucleotide ribosomal RNA is filed under the name uncultured Lactobacillus sp. Its description in RNAcentral is "partial 16S ribosomal RNA". It matches the Rfam family "Bacterial small subunit ribosomal RNA", at positions 71 to 339 of the family's 1533-position model. The record is from RNAcentral. Lineage: Bacteria; Bacillati; Bacillota; Bacilli; Lactobacillales; Lactobacillaceae.